Molecule: small RNA, 553 nt
Filed under: Pongo abelii (Sumatran orangutan)
Lineage: Eukaryota; Metazoa; Chordata; Mammalia; Primates; Hominidae
Description: retained intron
Source: RNAcentral
UUAUCAUGGUUCAAAUAUGUCAUAUUUACUUAAAGUUUUUCUUCAAACCCUUUGAAAGGGAAGUUAAAACUAAAAGGAAGUCUUUUAGUUUUACAAUGCAUGCAAGUGAGUUACUGCGUUAUCUUUUAUCUGGCUUUUGUCCAUUGCUUUUUGAUGAGCUUUCCCAGCAGUUGCCUCACUCUCAUCUUAAUCUGGAAUUCUCACCCUUAAAUGAAUUUAGAUGCUUGACUCAUUGCAUAAAUCUCUCUUCUAAGGAGCUCCAGCCACCUACCACCACAGUUGCCAGGUCUGGAACACCCGCAGUAGAAAACAAGCAGCAGAUUGGGGAUGCUAUUCGGAUGAUAGUCAGAGGGACUCUUGGCAGCUGCAGCAGCAGCAGUGAAUGCCUUGAAGACAGUACUAUGGGAAGUGUUGCAGACACAGUGGCAAGGGUUCUUCGGGGAUGUCUGGAAAACAUGCCGGAAGCUGAUUGCAUUCCCAAAGAGCAGCUGAGCACAUCAUUUCAGUGGGUCACCAAAUGGGUUGAUUACUCUAACAAAUAUGGCUUCGGGUA